RNAcentral lists this long non-coding RNA (267 nucleotides) under Lathyrus oleraceus (garden pea). Its description in RNAcentral is "Pisum sativum (pea) long non-coding RNA (PSAT_LNC026856)". Lineage: Eukaryota; Viridiplantae; Streptophyta; Magnoliopsida; Fabales; Fabaceae. The record is from RNAcentral.
CCAUUGUUGUUGAUGAUGCAUUUGUUGUUGAUGUUGCCAUUGUGUUGAUGAUGUCGUUGUUUUGAUAAUGCCUUUUUUGUUUAUGUAUUUGUUGUUGUUAAUACCAUUGUGUUAAUGAUGCCAUUGUUUUUUAUGAUGCCAUUUUUGUUUAUAUGCCAUUAUGUUGAUGAUGCCAUUGUUGUUGUUGAUGAUGCCCUUAUGUUGAUGAUGGCAUUAUUGUUGUUGAUGAUGCCCUUAUGUUGAUAAUGACUUAUGAUGUUGAUGCCA